GAUGAACGCUGGCGGCGUGCCUCAGACAUGCAAGUCGAACGCGAAAGUCCCCUUCGGGGGACAAGUAGAGUGGCGCACGGGUGAGUAACACGUAGGUAAUCUACCUUCGGGUGGGGAAUAACAAUCGGAAACGGUUGCUAAUACCGCAUAAUGCAGCGGCACCUAAUGGUGACAGUUGUUAAAGCGGGGGAUCGAAAGAUCUCGCGCCUGAAGAGGAGCCUGCGGCGGAUUAGCUAGUUGGUAGGGUAAUGGCCUACCAAGGCGACGAUCCGUAGCCGGCCUGAGAGGGCGGUCGGCCACACUGACACUGACAUACGGGUCAGACUCC
Molecule: ribosomal RNA, 328 nt
Filed under: uncultured bacterium
Lineage: Bacteria
Description: bacterial SSU rRNA
Rfam family: Bacterial small subunit ribosomal RNA
Source: RNAcentral